This is a non-coding RNA of Hydra vulgaris (swiftwater hydra), 179 nucleotides long. NCBI's taxonomy places the organism in Eukaryota, Metazoa, Cnidaria, Hydrozoa, Anthoathecata, Hydridae. The record is from RefSeq and is a predicted model, not a curated record.
GAAUUUUAAAUUUAUGCGAAUUAAAAGUUAUAACGCUUUUCGGUUUUUGUUUGGUAACGGAUAAAAUUGCAUACCGACAACAAACUUAUAGAGGAAGAUCAAAGAGCUGGAGACUUUUUAAGAGAAUUACCUUCUUACAAUAAAGAAAAUUUCACAAAGUUCUCUGCUGAUAGCCAUAU